This is a small nuclear RNA of Myotis myotis, 102 nucleotides long. The record is from RefSeq and is a predicted model, not a curated record. Lineage: Eukaryota; Metazoa; Chordata; Mammalia; Chiroptera; Vespertilionidae.
UGCCCGCUUCGGCAGCAGUAUACUAACAUCGGGACGACACAGAGAUUAGCAUGGCCCCUGUGCAAGGAUGACACGCAAAUUCGUGAAGCGUUCCAUAUUUUU